CGUAUACUCGUUCCCAUUUCUGCCUCUCUCUUCUCACUUCUCUCUCCCCCUCUCUCUCUCUAACCCUAGAAACUCCGGCGACGUCACCGCCGUUCCUGCCGGUCAUCACACGCCGCCACCGUCCCUACCCACGCCCACGUCGUCCAUCUUCUAGCUUAUUGCUAUUCUUUACAGGAUGCAUUUGUUGCUGAGCAGCUGUUUCAAGGCUCUGAAAAUUCUUCAUAACUGGGACUGAUUCUUGUUUCCUGAAGUUGGCAUAGCGGUGAUCUCUUUAUAUAGCCUUUAUUUCAGUACUGGGGACAAAAUUAACUUGUUACUGGAUCCUUCAACAAAAAACAUCUUGUUGGAAGAGUUGUGUUAAGAAAGGGGAAGUUGAAUGCAUGUGAACUUUAAAGUCAAAGGUACUGCAUUACUGAAAGAGUAAAUCUUCCUUUCCGUGUAAUACCAACUAUCAAAGAAUUAGACCGUACACGUACGGAAGUGAAUGUUAAGGUUUGAUAUGGAAUGAAUUUUGAUUUGAAACAUCAAUCUGUGUUUAUAUGAUUUACUAUUGCUAACUUUGACUAUUUUAAUCUUAAUCAUGUAAUGUACAUUCUUUUGCAUUAAAGCUAGCUUCUUCAAAAACAGAUCUUCAAUAUGGACAACUUGGUGCAAGAUAAGAAAAUUUCCAGGACAAACUGAGCGAACAUUGAGUGCUGAUGUUGAGCUAAUGAUUCCAUCCCUCCUGAGAGACCUGAUAACUGUGUUCGCUUAAGUUGACGAUUUUCUUUAUCCCUUGUAUGGAUCUUUUGGAAGGCUUUCUGUGGGGUGGGGUUCCCAUGUUUACAGCAUCUGGUUUGCGUGUUCGGUUUCUUAAGGUGUGGGAGAAGAGUGGCUACAACACAGUUGAGUGGGUUCGUUAUAUCACUAAAGCUGCUUCGUACGAGAUAAGGUGCUAAGAUGAAAGAACUACUUGAGUUGAGGUUGUCUUCGAUUGAUAGCCGGUGUAAAAAUUAAUCUUUUUGAGGGAUGGAAUCAUACUAACACUUAUGCACCAGAUCCUGUCAGAACUUUAAAUGUGCGUGGGCGAGAAUAGUACUAGGAUGGGUGACCGCGGAGAGUUCUCAUGUUUCAUCUGUUACUGACCCCAACUAGUUUGGAAUUGAGGCGGAGCUUGAUUAUCUUCUUCUUUUUUUUUUUUUUUUUUGCUUAUUGUUGUUGGUUUGUUUGAUAUAUUUUCCCACACAAAUUACUGUAUCUUUGUCUUGCUGGUUCCUGGAAAUGAAUUAGAAGCUAUUUAACCUUCUAUUAAUUGAAAUGUUUUCUUUUGGU
This is a long non-coding RNA of Lycium barbarum (goji berry), 1311 nucleotides long. RefSeq lists it as uncharacterized. The record is from RefSeq and is a predicted model, not a curated record. The transcript has 7 exons. NCBI's taxonomy places the organism in Eukaryota, Viridiplantae, Streptophyta, Magnoliopsida, Solanales, Solanaceae.